GUCUCGAUAGCUAAGUGGUAUAGCAUGCGAUUGCAGUUGUUAGAACCUAUCGCAGGGUCCGGUGUUCGAACCACCGUCGGGACU
RNAcentral lists this transfer RNA (84 nucleotides) under Sphagnurus paluster. RNAcentral describes it as "Tephrocybe palustris tRNA". It matches the Rfam family "tRNA". Rfam says of the family: Transfer RNA (tRNA) molecules are approximately 80 nucleotides in length. Their secondary structure includes four short double-helical elements and three loops (D, anti-codon, and T loops). Lineage: Eukaryota; Fungi; Basidiomycota; Agaricomycetes; Agaricales; Lyophyllaceae. The record is from Rfam by way of RNAcentral.